CCUCGGCGUCAGGACGAACGCUGGCGGCGUAGCUUAACUAACAUGCAAGUCGAACGGAGCGACCCCUCGUAAGGAGUUUUCGGUACAACGGAAGGGAAGUGCUUAGUGGCGGACGUGGUGAGUAACGCGUGAGGAACCUGCCUUCCUAGAGGGGGACGAACAGUUGGAAACGAACUGCUAAUACCGCAUGAAACAUUUGUAACCGCAUGGUUUGAAUGUCAAAGAUUUAUCGCUGGAAGAUGGCCUCGCGUCUGAUUAGCUAGUAGCGGGGUAACGGCCCACCUAGGCGACGAUCAGUAGCCGGACUGAGAGGUUGACCGGCCACAUUGGGACUGAGAUACGGCCCAGACUCCUACGGGAGGCAGCAGUGGGGAAUAUUGGGCAAUGGGCGCAAGCCUGACCCAGCAACGCCGCGUGAAGGAAGAAGGCUUUCGGGUUGUAAACUUCUUUUAAGAGGGAAGAGACGAAGACGGUACCUCUUGAAUAAGCCACGGCUAACUACGUG
Molecule: ribosomal RNA, 505 nt
Filed under: uncultured Oscillibacter sp.
Lineage: Bacteria; Bacillati; Bacillota; Clostridia; Eubacteriales; Oscillospiraceae
Description: bacterial SSU rRNA
Rfam family: Bacterial small subunit ribosomal RNA
Source: RNAcentral